AGCAGCCGCGGUAAUUCCAGCUCCAAUAGCGUAUAUUAAAGUUGUUGCAGUUAAAAAGCUCGUAGUUGAAUUUCGGGAUCAGCAGGUUGGUCUUGCCACUGGUAUGUACUAGCUUGCUGAUUCCUCCUUCUUGUAGAACCGUAAUGCCAUUAAUUUGGUGUUGCGGGGAAACAGGACUGUUACUUUGAAAAAAUUAGAGUGUUUAAAGCAAGCUAACGCUUGAAUACAUUAGCAUGGAAUAAUGAAAUAGGACGUUUGAUCCUAUUUUGUUGGUUUCUAGGAUUGACGUAAUGAUUAAUAGGGAUAGUUGGGGGCAUUAGUAUUCAAUUGUCAGAGGUGAAAUUCUUGGAUUUAUUGAAGACUAACUACUGCGAAAGCAUUUGCCAAGGAUGUUUUCAUUAAUCAAGAACGAAAGUUAGGGGAUCGAAGACGAUCAGAUACCGUCGUAGUCUUAACCAUAAACUAUGCCGACUAGGGAUCGGAUGAUGUUAAUUUUUUAAUGACUCG
This 507-nucleotide ribosomal RNA is filed under the name Glomus sp. PSAMG1. RNAcentral's name for it is "SSU rRNA". It matches the Rfam family "Eukaryotic small subunit ribosomal RNA", at positions 569 to 1078 of the family's 1831-position model. Lineage: Eukaryota; Fungi; Glomeromycota; Glomeromycetes; Glomerales; Glomeraceae. The record is from RNAcentral.